GAGCGGCGGACGGGUGAGUAAUGCCUAGGAAAUUGCCCUGAUGUGGGGGAUAACCAUUGGAAACGAUGGCUAAUACCGCAUAAUGCCUACGGGCCAAAGAGGGGGACCUUCGGGCCUCUCGCGUCAGGAUAUGCCUAGGUGGGAUUAGCUAGUUGGUGAGGUAAUGGCUCACCAAGGCGACGAUCCCUAGCUGGUCUGAGAGGAUGAUCAGCCACACUGGAACUGAGACACGGUCCAGACUCCUACGGGAGGCAGCAGUGGGGAAUAUUGCACAAUGGGCGCAAGCCUGAUGCAGCCAUGCCGCGUGUGUGAAGAAGGCCUUCGGGUUGUAAAGCACUUUCAGUCGUGAGGAAGGUGGUGUAGUUAAUAGCUGAAUUAAUUGACGUUAGCGACAGAAGAAGCACCGGCUAACUCCGUGCCAGCAGCCGCGGUAAUACGGAGGGUGCGAGCGUUAAUCGGAAUUACUGGGCGUAAAGCGCAUGCAGGUGGUUUGUUAAGUCAGAUGUGAAAGCCCGGGGCUCAACCUCGGAAUAGCAUUUGAAACUGGCAGACUAGAGUACUGUAGAGGGGGGUAGAAUUUCAGGUGUAGCGGUGAAAUGCGUAGAGAUCUGAAGGAAUACCGGUGGCGAAGGCGGCCCCCUGGACAGAUACUGACACUCAGAUGCGAAAGCGUGGGGAGCAAACAGGAUUAGAUACCCUGGUAGUCCACGCCGUAAACGAUGUCUACUUGGAGGUUGUGGCCUUGAGCCGUGGCUUUCGGAGCUAACGCGUUAAGUAGACCGCCUGGGGAGUACGGUCGCAAGAUUAAAACUCAAAUGAAUUGACGGGGGCCCGCACAAGCGGUGGAGCAUGUGGUUUAAUUCGAUGCAACGCGAAGAACCUUACCUACUCUUGACAUCCAGAGAACUUUCCAGAGAUGGAUUGGUGCCUUCGGGAACUCUGAGACAGGUGCUGCAUGGCUGUCGUCAGCUCGUGUUGUGAAAUGUUGGGUUAAGUCCCGCAACGAGCGCAACCCUUAUCCUUGUUUGCCAGCGAGUAAUGUCGGGAACUCCAGGGAGACUGCCGGUGAUAAACCGGAGGAAGGUGGGGACGACGUCAAGUCAUCAUGGCCCUUACGAGUAGGGCUACACACGUGCUACAAUGGCGCAUACAGAGGGCAGCAAGCUAGCGAUAGUGAGCGAAUCCCAAAAAGUGCGUCGUAGUCCGGAUUGGAGUCUGCAACUCGACUCCAUGAAGUCGGAAUCGCUAGUAAUCGUGGAUCAGAAUGCCACGGUGAAUACGUUCCCGGGCCUUGUACACACCGCCCGUCACACCAUGGGAGUGGG
This 1325-nucleotide ribosomal RNA is filed under the name Vibrio sp. 1H11. RNAcentral describes it as "bacterial SSU rRNA". It matches the Rfam family "Bacterial small subunit ribosomal RNA", at positions 93 to 1414 of the family's 1533-position model. The record is from RNAcentral. Lineage: Bacteria; Pseudomonadati; Pseudomonadota; Gammaproteobacteria; Vibrionales; Vibrionaceae.